This 301-nucleotide ribosomal RNA is filed under the name uncultured bacterium. RNAcentral describes it as "partial 16S ribosomal RNA". It matches the Rfam family "Bacterial small subunit ribosomal RNA", at positions 509 to 807 of the family's 1533-position model. The record is from RNAcentral.
CAGCAGCCACGGGAAUACAGAGGGUGCGAGCGUUAAUCGGAUUUACUGGGCGUAAAGCGUGCGUAGGCGGCUUUUUAAGUCGGAUGUGAAAUCCCUGAGCUUAACUUAGGAAUUGCAUUCGAUACUGGGAAGCUAGAGUAUGGGAGAGGAUGGUAGAAUUCCAGGUGUAGCGGUGAAAUGCGUAGAGAUCUGGAGGAAUACCGAUGGCGAAGGCAGCCAUCUGGCCUAAUACUGACGCUGAGGUACGAAAGCAUGGGGAGCAAACAGGAUUAGAGACCCCAGUAGUCCCUGUCUCUUAUAC